This 851-nucleotide ribosomal RNA is filed under the name Shigella boydii. Its description in RNAcentral is "partial 23S ribosomal RNA". It matches the Rfam family "Bacterial large subunit ribosomal RNA", at positions 64 to 956 of the family's 2925-position model. Lineage: Bacteria; Pseudomonadati; Pseudomonadota; Gammaproteobacteria; Enterobacterales; Enterobacteriaceae. The record is from RNAcentral.
AUCUGCGAUAAGCGUCGGUAAGGUGAUAUGAACCGUUAUAACCGGCGAUUUCCGAAUGGGGAAACCCAGUGUGAUUCGUUACACUAUCAUUAACUGAAUCCAUAGGUUAAUGAGGCGAACCGGGGGAACUGAAACAUCUAAGUACCCCGAGGAAAAGAAAUCAACCGAGAUUCCCCCAGUAGCGGCGAGCGAACGGGGAGCAGCCCAGAGCCUGAAUCAGUGUGUGUGUUAGUGGAAGCGUCUGGAAAGGCGUGCGAUACAGGGUGACAGCCCCGUACACAAAAAUGCACAUAUUGUGAGCUCGAUGAGUAGGGCGGGACACGUGGUAUCCUGUCUGAAUAUGGGGGGACCAUCCUCCAAGGCUAAAUACUCCUGACUGACCGAUAGUGAACCAGUACCGUGAGGGAAAGGCGAAAAGAACCCCGGCGAGGGGAGUGAAAAAGAACCUGAAACCGUGUACGUACAAGCAGUGGGAGCACGCUUAGGCGUGUGACUGCGUACCUUUUGUAUAAUGGGUCAGCGACUUAUAUUCUGUAGCAAGGUUAACCGAAUAGGGGAGCCGAAGGGAAACCGAGUCUUAACUGGGCGUUAAGUUGCAGGGUAUAGACCCGAAACCCGGUGAUCUAGCCAUGGGCAGGUUGAAGGUUGGGUAACACUAACUGGAGGACCGAACCGACUAAUGUUGAAAAAUUAGCGGAUGACUUGUGGCUGGGGGUGAAAGGCCAAUCAAACCGGGAGAUAGCUGGUUCUCCCCGAAAGCUAUUUAGGUAGCGCCUCGUGAAUUCAUCUCCGGGGGUAGAGCACUGUUUCGGCAAGGGGGUCAUCCCGACUUACCAACCCGAUGCAAACUG